Molecule: ribosomal RNA, 253 nt
Filed under: uncultured bacterium
Lineage: Bacteria
Description: partial 16S ribosomal RNA
Rfam family: Bacterial small subunit ribosomal RNA
Source: RNAcentral
UACAGAGACUGCAAGCGUUAUUCGGAUUCACUGGGCGUAAAGGGUGCGCAGGCGGCCGCGUGUGUGAGGCGUGAAAGCCCGGGGCUUAACCCCGGAAUUGCACCUCAAACUACGUGGCUAGAGCAUUGGAGAGGGUAGCAGAAUUCACGGUGUAGCAGUGAAAUGCGUAGAUAUCGUGAGGAAUACCAGAGGCGAAGGCGGCUACCUGGACAAUUACUGACGCUCAUGCACGAAAGCGUGGGGAGCAAACAGG